UUACUUAUCAUGUGAAGAUUUUGCAGCGGCGCUGAAAAACAUUGUAGGGGAAACACUGGCAGAGAUAGUGUCAACUUGACUCUCCCCUGUGAAGGCCUCAUCAACAUUGGCACUGAUCCUCAACAAACCCGGAGAGAGCCAGACGGAAGACUUUAAUUUUGGAGAGGAUAUGUGACGUCAUAAGGUUGCGCCGCGCUCCCGCAUUAUGUUGUGAUUCGGCAGAAGAAAGAAUGAUUCACUGUAUCGACUCGAUCGAAUCACCUCAAACACGGACGACUCCUGCAGGUCAAACAGUUUAAACAACGAGAACAACAAACACAAACAAGAUGAAGUGUUCAUAAACUGAGGAAAAACUCCUGGUGAAGCGACUGAGAGCCACGUGAUGCUAUUAUAAAGAUGGCAUUUAUUAAAGAGGAGAGCAAAGACAUAAAGAUGGCAUUUAUUAAAGAGGAGAGUGAAGACUUCAAGAUUGAAGAAACAUUCAGUCUGAAACAAGAAGACACUGAGGAAUACAC
Pimephales promelas (fathead minnow) is the source of this 515-nucleotide non-coding RNA. NCBI's taxonomy places the organism in Eukaryota, Metazoa, Chordata, Actinopteri, Cypriniformes, Leuciscidae. The record is from RefSeq and is a predicted model, not a curated record.